RNAcentral lists this ribosomal RNA (497 nucleotides) under uncultured bacterium. RNAcentral's name for it is "partial 16S ribosomal RNA". It matches the Rfam family "Bacterial small subunit ribosomal RNA", at positions 28 to 507 of the family's 1533-position model. The record is from RNAcentral.
GAUGAACGCUGGCGGCAUGCCUAAUACAUGCAAGUCGAGCGAACGGACGAGAAGCUUGCUUCUCUGAUGUUAGCGGCGGACGGGUGAGUAACACGUGGAUAACCUACCUAUAAGACUGGGAUAACUUCGGGAAACCGGAGCUAAUACCGGAUAAUAUUUUGAACCGCAUGGUUCAAAAGUGAAAGACGGUCUUGCUGUCACUUAUAGAUGGAUCCGCGCUGCAUUAGCUAGUUGGUAAGGUAACGGCUUACCAAGGCAACGAUGCAUAGCCGACCUGAGAGGGUGAUCGGCCACACUGGAACUGAGACACGGUCCAGACUCCUACGGGAGGCAGCAGUAGGGAAUCUUGCGCAAGGGGCGAAAGCCUGACGGAGCAACGCCGCGUGAGUGAUGAAGGUCUUCGGAUCGUAAAACUCUGUUAUUAGGGAAGAACAUAUGUGUAAGUAACUGUGCACAUCUUGACGGUACCUAAUCAGAAAGCCACGGCUAACUACGUG